This 253-nucleotide ribosomal RNA is filed under the name uncultured bacterium. RNAcentral's name for it is "partial 16S ribosomal RNA". It matches the Rfam family "Bacterial small subunit ribosomal RNA", at positions 524 to 776 of the family's 1533-position model. The record is from RNAcentral.
UACGAAUGGGGCAAGCGUUGUUCGGAAUCACUGGGCUUAAAGCGUGCGUAGGCGGUUUUGCAAGUCAGAAGUGAAAGCCUGGGGCUCAACCCCAGAAUUGCUUUUGAAACUGCAAGACUAGAAUACCGGAGAGGUUGGGAGAAUUCCUAGUGUAGAGGUGAAAUUCGCAGAUAUUAGGAGGAAUACCAGUGGCGUAGGCGCCCAACUGGACGGUUAUUGACGCUCAGGCACGAAAGCGUGGGGAGCAAACAGG